AGAGUUUGAUCCUGGCUCAGGAUGAACGCUAGCGGGAGGCUUAACACAUGCAAGUCGAGCGGGAUUAGUAGCAAUACUAUGAGAGCGGCGCACGGGUGCGUAACGCGUAUGCAACCUGCCUUAUACAAAGGGAUAGCCCAUGGAAACGUGGAUUAAUAUCUUAUAGGACUUGUGAGUCGCAUGGUUUACAAGUUAAAACUACGGUGGUAUAAGAUGGGCAUGCGUCUGAUUAGGUAGUUGGUAGGGUAACGGCCUACCAAGCCGACGAUCAGUAGGGGUUCUGAGAGGAUUACCCCCCACACUGGUACUGAGACACGGACCAGACUCCUACGGGAGGCAGCAGUGAGGAAUAUUGGUCAAUGGGCGAGAGCCUGAACCAGCCAUCCCGCGUGCAGGAUGACGGCCCUAUGGGUUGUAAACUGCUUUUCUGCUCCAAGAAACCCACCUACGUGUAGGUGGUUGACGGUAGAGUAGGAAUAAGCAUCGGCUAACUCCGUGCCAGCAGCCGCGGUAAUACGGAGGAUGCAAGCGUUAUCCGGAUUCAUUGGGUUUAAAGGGUGCGCAGGUGGGAAUGUAAGUCAGUGGUGAAAUACUGCCGCUUAACGGUAGAGCUGCCAUUGAUACUGCGUUUCUUGAGUAUGGUUGAGGUAGGUGGAAUGUGUUGUGUAGCGGUGAAAUGCAUAGAUAUGACACAGAACGCCGAUUGCGAAGGCAACUUACUAAGCCAUUACUGACGCUGAGGCACGAAAGCGUGGGUAGCGAACAGGAUUAGAUACCCUGGUAGUCC
Molecule: ribosomal RNA, 787 nt
Filed under: uncultured bacterium
Lineage: Bacteria
Description: bacterial SSU rRNA
Rfam family: Bacterial small subunit ribosomal RNA
Source: RNAcentral